RNAcentral lists this ribosomal RNA (685 nucleotides) under Rediviva saetigera. Its description in RNAcentral is "partial large subunit ribosomal RNA". It matches the Rfam family "Eukaryotic large subunit ribosomal RNA", at positions 402 to 810 of the family's 3401-position model. Lineage: Eukaryota; Metazoa; Arthropoda; Insecta; Hymenoptera; Melittidae. The record is from RNAcentral.
AAACCGUUCAGGGGUAAACCUGAGAAACCCAAAAGAUCGAAUGAGGAGAUUCAUCGUCAACGGCCGCUGGCUCCCGUUGCUGGCGAUGCCCCGCAACGUACCUUCGCGGUACGUGUAGCGUGAGGGCACGCACCUUCGGCGAUUGUUUCGGCGUCGUAGUCGUGCACUUCUCCUCUAGUAGAACGUCGCGACCCGUUGUGUGUCGGUCUACGGCCCGAGCGGUAGCCUGUCCCUUCGCCUUGUGCGUUCGCGACAGACCCUCGGUCGCCCGGCCGGCUGCACGACGGUACUCGCACGGUAUCGGGCCGCAACCAAUCCAUUCUCGAAUGUAUAUGCGUCAGGCCCGCCGCAAGCUCGGUCAGUUUACCCGGAGGCACGGACCUGGUGCCGUCCCCGGGCCUGGCCAGCUGUUGGCAGGCGGUGUCCUCGGACUGGCCAAGCUUUGAAUUACCGGUCGGCGACGCUAUUGCUUUGGGUACUCUCAGGACCCGUCUUGAAACACGGACCAAGGAGUCUAACAUGUGCGCGAGUCAUUGGGAUAAUUAAACCUAAAGGCGCAAUGAAAGUGAAGGUCGUCCUUCGACCGGUUGACCGAGGGAGGAUGGGCCGCGUAACUAUGCGGCCUCGCACUCCCGGGGCGUCUCGUUCUCAUUGCGAGAAGAGGCGCACCCAGAGCGUACACGUU